Molecule: unclassified non-coding RNA, 309 nt
Filed under: plant metagenome
Description: partial contains 5.8S ribosomal RNA, internal transcribed spacer 2, and large subunit ribosomal RNA
Rfam family: 5.8S ribosomal RNA (bases 1-104)
Source: RNAcentral
AAAUGCGAUAAGUAGUGUGAAUUGCAGAAUUCAGUGAAUUAUCGAAUCUUUGAACGCACAUUGCGCCCCUUGGUAUUCCAUGGGGCAUGCCUGUUCGAGCGUCAUUUGUACCCUCAAGCUCUGCUUGGUGUUGGGUGUUUGUCCCCGUCUCCGCGCGUGGACUCGCCCCAAAGUGAUUGGCAGCCGGCGUACUGGUCCCGGAGCGCAGCACAUGUCGCGCAAACGAGUGCCUUGGUACGGCGGCGUCCAUAAGCCCCUCUCUCACGCUCUUGACCUCGGAUCAGGUAGGGAUACCCGCUGAACUUAAGC